CCUACGGGUGGCAGCAGUCGAGAAUCAUUCACAAUGGGGGAAACCCUGAUGGUGCGACGCCGCGUGGGGGAAUGAAGGUCUUCGGAUUGUAAACCCCUGUCAUGUGGGAGCAAAUUAAAAAGAUAGUACCACAAGAGGAAGAGACGGCUAACCCUGUGCCAGCAGCCGCGGUAAUACAGCGGUCUCAAGCGUUGUUCGGAAUCACUGGGCGUAAAGCGUGCGUAGGCUGUUUCGUAAGUCGUGUGUGAAAGGCGCGGGCUCAACCCGCGGACGGCACAUGAUACUGCGAGACUAGAGUAGUGGAGGGGGAACCGGAAUUCUCGGUGUAGCAGUGAAAUGCGUAGAUAUCGAGAGGAACACUCGUGGCGAAGGCGGGUUCCUGGACAUUAACUGACGCUGAGGCACGAAGGCCAGGGGAGCGAAAGGGAUUAGAUACCCUAGUAGUC
RNAcentral lists this ribosomal RNA (446 nucleotides) under uncultured bacterium. RNAcentral describes it as "partial 16S ribosomal RNA". It matches the Rfam family "Bacterial small subunit ribosomal RNA", at positions 338 to 795 of the family's 1533-position model. The record is from RNAcentral.